RNAcentral lists this long non-coding RNA (913 nucleotides) under Cricetulus griseus (Chinese hamster). RNAcentral describes it as "lncRNA (ENSCGRG00015036017.1)". The record is from RNAcentral. Lineage: Eukaryota; Metazoa; Chordata; Mammalia; Rodentia; Cricetidae.
GUACCGCUGCACCCACGCUGAAUCCCCAUCCAAAAUCCAUGAAGGAAUUUAGGAUGCUAAAUCUUGAGACAAACUAAUGGGGGGGGCGGGGCCAGGAUACGGUCCUCAUUUCCCCACUUAAUGAGAAUGCUGGAAGUUUACAGCAGAGAAUGACCUGUUCCAGAUAAAUACAGACUGCAGCAGCCAGCACCCCCUAAGGGGCUUUGUAAUAUACAUCAGAUGUGUGGCCACAUCAGUCCCUGGGAAGUUCAGGGCCCACAGAUGACCCCUCAUCCUCUUCUCCCCACUCCCCCCACGCAGGGUCUUACUUUGUAGCCCCGGCUAUCCUCCUGCCUCAAGAAGCUGAGAAUUUUGUCUUGCUUUCCUUCUUUCCGUUUACGUCCACGUGCGUGUGUAUACAUGGUUACGUAUUGGCGUUGACACCUCCUACAUACAAGUCACAAUUGCCAGCCUUGGGGACACAGCAGUGCCCGUCUUCAUUGGUACUUCCAGUCUAGCGAGGAAGCAGAAUAUAAAAUUCCCACAAUGAUUAGUAACUAUUAUGACAAGCUCCGAGAAGUCCCAACUGCAGGCAGGAGAGGACCAUAAAGAUCAACCAACCUGACAUUUGAUGGAUGAGGAAACAGCACUGAAGAGGGAAGUGACUUCUGUAAGCCACACAGAUCUUUCCUGGUGGUGUUGCCACCAAAACCCGGGCUGACUCCCUGACAAGUCCCUGCUCACCAGGGGUGGAGCUAAAGGAGAAGGACCUGAGGCUGAGAACGAGCUGGACUUGUGGAGAAACUGCAAGCAGCUGCUAGGAGUGCUUGAGUUGCUUGGUUUAAGUUCAAAUCACUUUUAGAGAAGCUGAUUAAUCUGUACCAAAGGCUUGCAACUUCUCACCCACCUUGGGAACCUCCAACCCGAACAGCAU